This 73-nucleotide transfer RNA is filed under the name Felis catus (domestic cat). It matches the Rfam family "tRNA". Rfam says of the family: Transfer RNA (tRNA) molecules are approximately 80 nucleotides in length. Their secondary structure includes four short double-helical elements and three loops (D, anti-codon, and T loops). RNAcentral also lists the same sequence under 1 other name. Lineage: Eukaryota; Metazoa; Chordata; Mammalia; Carnivora; Felidae. The record is from Rfam by way of RNAcentral.
GCCUGGCUGGUUCAGUUGGUAGAGCAUGCGACUCUUGAUCCCAGGGUUGUAAGUUCAAGUCCUAUGUUGGGUG